UGCGGGGUGGUGUAAUUUUGGUAGCACUCGAGAUUCUGGCUCUCGCGAUCUUGGUUCGAGUCCAGGCCCCGCAGCCA
This 77-nucleotide transfer RNA is filed under the name Candidatus Nealsoniibacteriota bacterium. RNAcentral's name for it is "Candidatus Nealsonbacteria bacterium tRNA-Gln". It matches the Rfam family "tRNA". Rfam says of the family: Transfer RNA (tRNA) molecules are approximately 80 nucleotides in length. Lineage: Bacteria; Candidatus Nealsoniibacteriota. The record is from RNAcentral.